Molecule: long non-coding RNA, 361 nt
Organism: Motacilla alba alba
Lineage: Eukaryota; Metazoa; Chordata; Aves; Passeriformes; Motacillidae
Exons: 3
Source: RefSeq, a predicted model, not a curated record
ACAAGAUGUGGGCAUGACUCUUGAUUUUUGCCUCAGCUAUCACCAGGCGUCACAGCGUUCAAGGAGUACAGUCCAAAUUCAGGUCAGAAGGACAGAUUAAUCUGAAAUACCUGACUUUACCAGUUAUCUGAAGUGUCUAUCCCUGUCCUGGCCUGCUAUGGGAGGGAGGAAGGAGAACAUGUACAUGCACAUGUGUAUACACACAAAACUCCUUGCAGCUGUGUGAUACAGUGUCUUUGUGUGUGAAGGAAGACCUGGAAAAAAAAUUAGUGGUGAGAGAGUAAAACAGGAAAUAUGAGAAGAUCAAGAAUGAGGACUUCAAAAUGAAGCCUCCUAGGAAAAGAGGAGAGUCACAGCAGAG